UAUUGAAUCUUCGUCAAUGGACGAAAGUCUGACCGAGCAACGCCGCGUGCGUGAAGAAGGUUUUCGGAUCGUAAAACUCUGUUGUUAGAGAAGAAUGUUGAUUAGAGUGGAAAAUUAAUCAGGUGACGGUAUCUAACCAGAAAGGGACGGUUAACUACGUGCCAGCAGCCGCGGUAAUACGUAGGUCCCGAGCGUUGUCCGGAUUUAUUGGGCGUAAAGCGAGCGCAGGUGGUUUAAUAAGUCUGAUGUAAAAGGCAGUGGCUCAACCAUUGUGUGCAUUGGAAACUGUUAGACAUGAGUGCAGUAGAGGAGAGUGGAAUGCCAUGUGUAGCGGUUAAAUGCGGAGAUAUAUGGAGGAACACCGGUGGAGAAAGCGGCUCUAUGGACUGUCACUGACAAUGAGGCUCGAAAGCGGGGGUAGCAAAAC
Molecule: ribosomal RNA, 427 nt
Filed under: uncultured bacterium
Lineage: Bacteria
Description: bacterial SSU rRNA
Rfam family: Bacterial small subunit ribosomal RNA
Source: RNAcentral